Molecule: long non-coding RNA, 272 nt
Organism: Adelges cooleyi (spruce gall adelgid)
Lineage: Eukaryota; Metazoa; Arthropoda; Insecta; Hemiptera; Adelgidae
Exons: 3
Source: RefSeq, a predicted model, not a curated record
UUCAGGGUUGGACUAGCUCACCGGACAUCUCAGUUUAAAAACGUUGGGCCUCCUUGUUCAAAAGUUGUAUUCAAUGAUUCAGAUGAACCGACAGACAUACAGGCUGACAUUACUGGACUGGACAAUUUUCAUCCUGUUAAUUCAAUAGAAAUAUUAAACAUUCCAAAGAAUAACUACAGUGAUCCGAUCAGCCUAAUACGCCGGCAAAGAUAACAGAUAUGGACAUAGGUUUUAAGUACUCAUGAGCUCGACAAAACAAAAAAAACUCCCCG